CCUACGGGGGGCUGCAGUGGGGAAUCUUCCGCAAUGGGCGAAAGCCUGACGGAGCAACGCCGCGUGAACGAUGAAGGUCUUAGGAUCGUAAAGUUCUGUUGUUAGGGACGAAGGGUAAGAAUCAUAAUAAGGUUUUUAUUUGACGGUACCUAACGAGGAAGCCACGGCUAACUACGUGCCAGCAGCCGCGGUAAUACGUAGGCGGCAAGCGUUGUCCGGAAUUAUUGGGCGUAAAGGGAGCGCAGGCGGGAAACUAAGCGGAUCUUAAAAGUGCGGGGCUCAACCCCGUGAUGGGGUCCGAACUGGUUUUCUUGAGUGCAGGAGAGGAAAGCGGAAUUCCCAGUGUAGCGGUGAAAUGCGUAGAUAUUGGGAAGAACACCAGUGGCGAAGGCGGCUUUCUGGACUGUAACUGACGCUGAGGCUCGAAAGCUAGGGUAG
Molecule: ribosomal RNA, 438 nt
Filed under: uncultured bacterium
Lineage: Bacteria
Description: bacterial SSU rRNA
Rfam family: Bacterial small subunit ribosomal RNA
Source: RNAcentral